UGGUGUUCUGUUACACAGUAGAGUAAGU
RNAcentral lists this non-coding RNA (28 nucleotides) under Homo sapiens (human). Lineage: Eukaryota; Metazoa; Chordata; Mammalia; Primates; Hominidae. The record is from RNAcentral.